CGCCUGACGAGCGGGCUUUUCUUUGUGGUGCGGCUGGUGUGUCCCCACCCACUACGAGCUCUUCCCGGGGCUUAGGGACGGAGCGGGGAGGACAGCCAGUAGGGCCCACCUGUGCCUUUGUACGACCUGGGGGAGGGUCAGCUAAGCCCGCUGCCGCCGGUCUCCGGCGCCCUCACGUGGCCCUACGCUCCCCGCGGUGCGAUGGCGGCGCUGGUGACCCCGGCGCAGGUGGUGGUGACCUUUAAGAAUGUGGCUGUGACCAAGAGGAGUGGAGACAACUUGACCUGGACCAGAGGACUCUGUACCAGGAGGUGAUGCUGGAGACUUUGAGCUUCUGGUCUCACUGGAAAUUGUGAAGUGGAUUCUACAAUGAAAAUGCAAGUGCAAAGGACCAAGAAUAGCCAAAACAACCUGGAAACAAGAAAGUGCUAGCGUAAAUACAAAUAGGCACAUCUUUAAAUUUUUUUGGACCCCAAUAUACAGGAUAUAUACCCAGGAGUGGAAUUGGUGGAUCAUAUGGUAAUUCUAUGUUUAGUUUUUUUGAGAAACCACCAUACUAUUUCCCACAGUGGCUGCAACAAUUUACAUUCUUACCAACAGUGUCAAGAGUUCCCUUACCAGGAUGUAUUCUUAAGUGAAAAACUAUGGUCCAGAACAGUGUAUAAAAUAUACCAUGUUUUUUGAGUCAAGUAGAAGAGUAUAACUAUAGGGAUAGAGAUUUAACAGAUUGGAAGGACAGGAAUGAAAGUGAUGAAAUUUUCUUGUGUUGUAGUUUUGAAUUUGUACAAAUUUAAGUAUUUUCCAUAAAGUUUAAACAAACAAUGCUCAAUCAAAAUGGAAUUUUAAAAUCCAUUAACAUCAAAAGUAAAAUGGAAGAAAAACUGAGAGAGAUUGUGUGUUGCCUUGAUGGUAUAUCCAGGAUAAAGAAAGUGGCUUAACCCAGAGGGAUAUCAACUAUACCCCAAUAUAAAAUAGAAACUAAAAAAAAAAAAGAGGGAUAAAACCACACAGCUGAGAACAAGUAUAACUAGAGGAAUCUGAAUAAGAUCAGGUGAUAGUAUAAACGUCAACAUCAUUGUUGUGAUAUAAUAUAGUCUUACUAUUGGGGAAACUGGGUAAAGUACACACAGGAUCUCUCUGAUUCCUUCCCUUCCCUUUCCCUUUGCUUCCCUUUCCUUUCCUUUGUCCUCUCCUUUCUGUGCCACAAGGUGUGCAGGAUCUCAGUUCCCCAACCCGGGAUUGAACCUGGGUCACGGCAGUGAAAGCGCCAAAUCCUAACCACUAGACCACCAGGGAACUCCCUCUCUGCAUUCUUACCCUUGCAUGUGAAUCACUGAUUUUCACAAUAAAUAUUUCAAUUAAAAAAUCCAAGGGAGGGAAUUCCCUGGUGGUCCAGUGGUUGGGGGUGUUCUCCGAGAUCUUAUCGAAUAUUUGUAUGAAGUUGUCAUUUCUGUCUGGAGAGAUCCUCACCAAUUGUGAAGUGUUCCUUCUCUGGGAUGCGGACUUUGUAAGGGAGAAGGAGUGUAGUGUAUCAAUGUCAUUAUUCAGUUUAACUUUAUACACCAGUGGGUUCAUUGAAAAUAUUCAUAGUAAAUAUUAUUUUUAUAAUACUAUUUAAGGUUGAAGUAAAAAAUAUCACCAGUGUGAUGAAAACAGGUUACAAAACUAGAAAAUGAAGCAAAAUAAGGGACAAAGGAAAGAACCAGAAAUCUUGAUAAGAAUCACAAGAUGAAGUUAAAUAACAAAAACAUAUGCCAGGGGCUUCCCUAGUGGCGCAGCGGUUGCGCGUCCGCCUGCCGAUGCAGGGGAACUGGGUUCGCGCCCCGGUCUGGGAGGAUCCCACAUGCCGCGGAGCGGCUGGGCCCGUGAGCCAUGGCCGCUGAGCCUGCGCGUCCGGAGCCUGUCCUCUGCAACGGGAAAGGCCGCAGCAGAGGGAGGCCGGCAUACCACAAAAAAAAAAACAAAAAAAAAAAAAAAAAAACA
Molecule: long non-coding RNA, 1983 nt
Organism: Physeter macrocephalus (sperm whale)
Lineage: Eukaryota; Metazoa; Chordata; Mammalia; Artiodactyla; Physeteridae
Exons: 5
Source: RefSeq, a predicted model, not a curated record